Molecule: ribosomal RNA, 253 nt
Filed under: uncultured bacterium
Lineage: Bacteria
Description: partial 16S ribosomal RNA
Rfam family: Bacterial small subunit ribosomal RNA
Source: RNAcentral
UACGGAGGGUGCGAACGUUAAUCGGAAUCACUGGGCGUAAAGCGUGCGCAGGCGGUUCGCCAAGUCAGGUGUGAAAUCCCCGGGCUUAACCUGGGAAUUGCGCUUGAAACUAGCGGGCUUGAGUGUGGCAGAGGGGGGUGGAAUUCCACGUGUAGCAGUGAAAUGCGUAGAGAUGUGGAGGAACACCGAUGGCGAAGGCAGCCCCCUGGGUCAACACUGACGCUCAUGCACGAAAGCGUGGGGAGCAAACAGG